CUGCCAUUUUUGGCACUUCGGCAUUGGCUUCAUUUUACAGCCCCAGAGGUUGCCGCUUGAUGAGGAGACGGGCAGCGAGAGGAAGUAGAGUGUGGGUGAAAUUGUGUAAACGUGACGAACUGAGUAGCGAUGUGUGCGCAGUGUUUACAAACAAAUGUGUAGCUUGUGUCUGAGAUUAUCUACCCGACAGUUUAUGUCAGGAUACUCAUGCUACAUAUUUUCUACGAGCAACUGAAGACACUUCUACUCGAAGUUUGUUGUACAGUUGUUCAAGUUUGUUUGUUAUUAGCUCAUUAGCCGAACGUGUGUUUGUUAGCAUUCAUUAGCAAAGUGAAUGGACUCAUAGCCACUAUAACUAACACACGAGUGAUUUAUUAGCAUUCAUUAGCACAGUGAAUGGAUUUAUAGCCACUGUGUAGCUAACCCAGCUUAUGCUAAAGGCUUUAGUUAAUCGUUUUCGACGUGGAAACCCUGAGGAUUUAUCGGACAGUGCGAUGAGCUAUUAAGUCAUCGCUCAGAGAUACUUUUCACUACAUGGGCCGGACCCGCUAUCUUGAGACUUCAGCGUGUAUCCUGUUCCUUCCCGGAGACCGAGGCUGGUAUAAACUGCACCCUGUUCCUUCCCGGAGACCGAGGCUGGUGUAAACUGCAUCCUGUUCCUUCCCGGAGACCGAGGCUGGUAUAAACUGCUGAUUGGAGUCAGACUUCAUGACCAAGGUACUUCAAUUCUGAUUAAUCCUGAGAGGGGAAUAGAGGCCAGCCAGGGAAAGUAAUGCCAAGAAAACAAACAAGCUCACAGUGAAUCCUUGUCACCACUCUUCUGAAGAACUUUACAUCACUUCAUAAAGGGAAGUUAGUUGUCCUUCUUGUGUAAAAUGUUUCUCUCUCCCAUUCAAUUAUAUCAUUUCUCUUUCUCUCUCUAUCUCUCUUUGCUUGAUUUUCAUUCUUGUAUCUUUCUCACUCAGUGAGCUGUGAGUCUGGAAGCCUGAUGCCAACCUUCUGCCAAUUAUAACAGAUGACAUUUGAAGGCAUUACAAAUUAUGUUUCCUGCAAUCUGUUUAUUUGUGCUGUUUAUUUUUUUAAACAGUAGUUUGCAAAGCAGUUGCUGUUCAGGCUCAAGAUAUUAUAAUUAACAGGUUUAGAUUGACCUUUGAAAGGGCAUGGACCAUGAGAAUUAUUUUUUCGAACACAUAUUUGAAUGUACUUGGUGUAUUUAAAGGCCUUUGAAUAAAUGUUCACUUCCCCAAA
Thunnus maccoyii (southern bluefin tuna) is the source of this 1248-nucleotide long non-coding RNA. RefSeq lists it as uncharacterized. The record is from RefSeq and is a predicted model, not a curated record. The transcript has 2 exons. NCBI's taxonomy places the organism in Eukaryota, Metazoa, Chordata, Actinopteri, Scombriformes, Scombridae.